CAGGAGAGCCCACUGUUGGGUCAUCCAGCAGGAGUUGUCUCCCAGACCCUGAGCAGGCUGGAUGUUGGGGAUUCUACAAUAAGGAAACUGAGUCUUGAAGAGGCUUAUCAACUUGUCUCCAGUCGCACAGAUGCUGAUUUUGACUUGAAGAAUUAACUAAUAUCCGUAAAGCACUUCACCAGUGCUGGCUGCAGAAUGGGAGCUUCAUAAAUGCCACUUCCUCUCUCCCUAACUCUCCUUCCUGGAAGAUUUCCUUCCAGUUUAUUAAGAAGACACAAUCCGCCAAGCUCUGAGUCUCAGAGUCAAAAACUUAAGGAGUCUGGGUGAAGCCUCCUAGGGACUUCAUCACAACCAGUUGGAUGCAGAGAGAGAAAAAUGGAGAACUCACAAAUUUCCGGAUUGGAUCCAUACAGUCUCAGGAACAAUCCUGCAAUGCCCAAAGGUUCCCCUGGUUUGCACAGGACUCUCAAAAUCACCCUGUUGAGAUCAUUUCCUCAUCUUUCAAAAGAGAUAAUUCAGGACUGGAGAAUGGGAAUGGCUUUCUCCAAGUCGGCCAUCCAGCCAGUGGAUAAGCCAGGAGGCAUUGGUGGUGAUGUGCACUGGCUUCAGAGACAGACAGGCCUGGGAUGGAAUCCCAGCUCUGCCACCUACUACUUGCUGGACAAUCUGGGCAAUGCAGAGUUUUGCCCAGAUGAGGCAAUUUCCUCAUCUGGAAAAUGUGGAUGAUACACACCCAUACCUUCCUCUCAGCCUUGUCUUGGCUUUGGAAAAAGAUGACAUCGUUUAUAACCUCUAUAAUUUGUAUCAUGAUGUCCAGCAUCUAAUGAAAAAUUACAAGGCAUACACACAUGCACAAAAGGACAAAUGGACUGAAAUCCAAGAAAUUAAAAUAUACAAUAUAACAGACUCA
This is a long non-coding RNA of Panthera uncia (snow leopard), 910 nucleotides long. RefSeq lists it as uncharacterized. The transcript is spliced from 6 exons. The record is from RefSeq and is a predicted model, not a curated record. Lineage: Eukaryota; Metazoa; Chordata; Mammalia; Carnivora; Felidae.